GUGGAGCUGAGGGUGGAAGGGGAGUGAGCUGACGCUCGGAAGGUGUCUUGAGAUUAUCAUCCGCUGAGGGUGGAAGGGGAGUGAGCACACACUCGGGAGGUGUCUUGAGAUUAUCAUCCGCUGAGGGUGGAAGGGGAGUGAGCACACACUCGGGAGGUGUCUUGAGGCUCAGGGAGUUAUCAGUUAUAGAAUGUUGUUGAGUUGGAGGAGGUGGCUGGUGGCCCAUCCUGUUUUUUAAAGUUUCAGCUGUG
This 251-nucleotide long non-coding RNA is filed under the name Homo sapiens (human). Its description in RNAcentral is "HSALNT0228821". The record is from RNAcentral. Lineage: Eukaryota; Metazoa; Chordata; Mammalia; Primates; Hominidae.